RNAcentral lists this long non-coding RNA (906 nucleotides) under Pan troglodytes (chimpanzee). RNAcentral describes it as "long non-coding RNA NONPTRT000517". Lineage: Eukaryota; Metazoa; Chordata; Mammalia; Primates; Hominidae. The record is from RNAcentral.
AGUGAUGGGCGCCUGUAAUCCCACCUACUCGAGAGGCUGAAGCAGGAGAACGGCUUGAACCCACGAGGCGGAGGUUUCAGUGAGCCGAGAUCAUACCAGAGGGCCUUGAGUCUCCAGUUUGUUUUUGACCAUUGACAGCUUGCUCUUUGUGGGAACCAAACCAAACAGCUUCCUCAAUUCAGACUUAGCAUGUCUUGGGUGACCAUCUCUGAUGGAAAAAAAAAGAAACAGCUUUUUUUUUUCUCUACACUCACACUCCAAAGGACGAUGAUUGGGUGUCCUAUAAUUCAAUUCAACUCUGACACAAUCCACCUGGAGAUAGCAUCAGAUCCCACAGGUUAGGGCUCAGCCCCACAAGACAGUCCCUAACUCUAGACCCCAGUCGCAAGUCCUAGGUUAUGGCCUGGCUAUAAAUUGGGGUUCCCACGACUCCCUCCUCAGGUUUGAUUAAUUUGCUAGGAUGGCUCACAGAACUCAGGGAAACACCUUGUGCCCUCCGGUAACCCUCCACAUGGUCAUACACAUAGACACUUUCCAAACCCAGUCCUUUGAGGUUUUUAAUGGAGAUUUCAUUACAUAGGUAUAAUCGGUUACAUUAUUAGCCAUUGGUGAUCAACUCAACCUUCAUCCCUCCUCCCCUCCAAAGAGGUCAGUCCAUGAACUGCAAGUUCCAACUCUCUAAUCACAUGGUUAUCUGCCCUGGCCACCAGCCCCAUCCUGUGGCUAUCCAGGAACCCACCAAGAGUCACCUCAUUAGAACAAAGAUACUCCUAUCACCCAGGAAACUCCAAGGCAUUUAAGAGUUCUGUGUCAGACACUCCUAUCACUCAAGAAAUUACAAGGGUCUCAGGAGCUCUGCGUCCAGAACUGGGUCAAAGACCAAAUAUUAGAACAAAAGAUUCUCCU